This 56-nucleotide non-coding RNA is filed under the name unclassified sequences. The record is from Rfam.
AUCGUUCAAUCUGAAUUAAUUCAGAUCGGAAGUAGGUAAAACCGAAGGAACGCGGA